GUGCUCGCUUCGGCAGCACAUAUACUAAAAUUGGAACGAUACAGAGAAGAUUAGCAUGGCCCCUGCGCAAGGAUGAUACAAGGGUAACUUAUACCCUUCUACUUCCU
Small nuclear RNA from Lutra lutra (Eurasian river otter), 107 nucleotides. Lineage: Eukaryota; Metazoa; Chordata; Mammalia; Carnivora; Mustelidae. The record is from RefSeq and is a predicted model, not a curated record.